CAAUUUAAAGCUUAGAUAGUAAAGUAUUUCAUUUACAUUGAAAAGAAAUUUGUGCAAAUCAAUUUAAAUUGA
RNAcentral lists this transfer RNA (72 nucleotides) under Toxorhynchites speciosus. RNAcentral describes it as "tRNA-Val". It matches the Rfam family "tRNA". Rfam says of the family: Transfer RNA (tRNA) molecules are approximately 80 nucleotides in length. Their secondary structure includes four short double-helical elements and three loops (D, anti-codon, and T loops). The record is from RNAcentral. Lineage: Eukaryota; Metazoa; Arthropoda; Insecta; Diptera; Culicidae.